GGCUGGUUGAGAAGGGAACUGCAGUUAGUUGGUUACUUUAUGAAGAAGAAAGAGUCAGUGCUCUGAGGAGAUGCCCACGAGAAACACCAAGAAGGUAAACAAGAAACAAAAACGAAAAGCUUCUGUUGAAAUAUGCCAAUAUCAGUCUGAAGAUGGAAUAACAACCACUCUCAAGCAGAGAUGGUCUGAAUGCGAGGGAGGUUCUGGACAUGUGAGGAGUUUUUGAAAAUCCACCCCUUUUUUGUUGACUUGUAUCUUCCAUAACCACUGGUGCGCAUUAUGACUGUUGGAUUCUCCUACUGUAUUUUAAACCAUGAUUUGACCUUGUGGAGGAUUGCACAGCUUCACUAUUUUGAGGAUUGAGCAAGGUGAAGAAAGCUGAUUGAAUUUUAUUUCUCUUAUCCCUGGGAGUUUUCUUUCUGGAACCUCCACUUUUAGCAUUUGUUUUAAAAGGACCCUUCCUUUUUUUUCCAAGCCCCAUUGUAUCAACAGAAAAAUUUUGGUUGAGCUGGUUGACUACAGAAUUGUGUCUCUAUAUCGUACUUCAAAUUUCAGCUGAGUUACAGGAAGAAGCAACUUUCUAUCAAAGUAAGCAAACUUUGUCAACUGCUGUCACCAAAGUCUGUUUAAGCAAAAGAAAAUUCAAACCCUGAUUGUAAAAUACCCCUUUAUAUGAGUUUCUUACAAAUACCUCAGCUAGCAGUUAUAACAAAGACUCUGCCAUUUUACUGUUGAAAGAUCACAUUUUUAGAUGAGAAGCCUUAAGUUUCAAACUCAUCUCAGCUAACAUAAAUGUUUUGAAGUGAAAGGUAUUGGUAUAAAACAUCAAGGAAACUGUCUUGAACUCCAAAUUUAAUUUCUAUAAAUUUUCAAUGUUUCCUUGGGUUUAAAUAGCAGGCAGCAUAUAGUGGAUAUGCUUCAAUUUAAAUUGCAAUUUGCAAAGGUGUUAUAAAACAUUCUUUGAAUGUGGUCACAUAUUGUAUGUCUGAUAUGCAAAUUUCAGACAUUGGGAGCUCUAUGAUUGCAAUAAGCACCUUUCAACUUACUUAAACCUGUAAUUAACUAUGAUACCCAAUGAGUGUUCCUUAAUGCCUCUGUCAAACCUUUAUAAAUUCUACAUGAACUCAUACAUUUUCUCCAAAAUAUUAAUAAAUUGGUGUCAGUAUACUUAAAACUGUUUUCAUGUAUGAACAAAUACAGUUCUUGUUGACUUAUAAAGCAGUCUGCUUAAUGAUAUUUUAAUCUUUAAAAGUUAUAUUAACAAAAUUGUCUUAAACUAACUUCAUGAUGGAGGCUCUUUCUUGCUUUUGGCAGAAGAAUUUUUGAUUUUAUUAUUCCAGCAUCUACACUGCUCUCCUUCAGACACGAAUCUUCCUUUAUUUGCCAC
Zonotrichia leucophrys gambelii is the source of this 1387-nucleotide long non-coding RNA. RefSeq lists it as uncharacterized. The transcript has 3 exons. Lineage: Eukaryota; Metazoa; Chordata; Aves; Passeriformes; Passerellidae. The record is from RefSeq and is a predicted model, not a curated record.